Molecule: ribosomal RNA, 254 nt
Filed under: uncultured bacterium
Lineage: Bacteria
Description: partial 16S ribosomal RNA
Rfam family: Bacterial small subunit ribosomal RNA
Source: RNAcentral
UACGUAGGGUGCGAGCGUUAAUCGGAAUUACUGGGCGUAAAGGGUGCGCAGGCGGUCUCGUAAGCUGGGUGUGAAAGCCCCGGGCUUAACCUGGGAAUGGCAUUCAGGACUGCGAGGCUUUGAGUGCGGCAGAGGGAGGUGGAAUUCCACGUGUAGCAGUGAAAUGCGCAGAUAUCAGGAGGAACACCAGCGGCGAAGGCGGCGCUCUGGGCCGGUACUGACGCUGAGGAGCGAAAGCGUGGGUAGCAAACAGG